GAAACCAAGUCUGAAUAGGGCGCAUAGUCAGUCGGAGUAGACCCGAAACCGGGUGAUCUAUCCAUGUCCAGGUGAAGUGCCCGUAAAGGCAAUGGAGGACCGACCCCACAUNCCGUGAAAAGGGUGGGGAUGAGUGUGNNAUAGGGNAGAAAUNNCCAUCGACCCCGGAGAUAGCUGGUCUUCCUCGAAAUAGCUUUAGGGCUAGCCUCAUACGAGUCUUGCGGAGGUAGAGCACUGAUUCCCUAAGGGGGCGUCAAAGCUUACUAAGGGAUAUCAAACUCCGAAUGCCGUGUAGAUGAUGUAUGGGAGUCAGACGAUCCGAGAUAAGUUGGGUGGUCAAAAGGGAAAGAGCCCAGACCAACAGCUAAGGCCCCAAAAUGUGUGUUAAGUGGAAAAGGAUGUGGGAUUUCGAAGACAACUAGGAUGUUGGCUCAGAAGCAGCCAUUCAUUCAAAGAGUGCGUAAUAGCUCACUAGUCGAGAGGUCCUGCGCCGAAAAUGUCCGGGGCUAAAACACACUGCCGAAGCUUUGGAAUUGAAUUAAUUCAAUUGGUAGAGGGGCAUUCUUAAAGGGACGAAGCAGUACCGUAAGGAGCUGUGGACUUUUAAGAAGAGAGAAUGCCGGAAUGAGUAGCGAGAGGAAGGUGGGAAUCCUUCCGGCCGAAUAUCUAAGGUUUCCAGAGUAAAGCUGAUCUGCUCUGGGUAAGUCGGGGCCUAAGGCGAGGUCGAAAGACGUAGUCGAUGGAUAACAGGUUGAAAUUCCUGUACUAUCCUGUAACAGAACUGUGGGGACACAGGCAGAGAGCGUGAGCCGGGAAUGGAAAGACCGGUACAAGCGAGGUAGGAGAAGAGUUGGCAAAUCCGCUCUUUAAUCUAAAGACGUGAUGUGGACUGAAAAUAAGUAGGGAAGCACGUGAGCUGACUGUCAAGAAAAGCCGCUAUUGUUUGCAGGAUACCCGUACCGUAAACCGACACAGGUGGAUGAGGAGAGAAUCCUAAGGCCGACGGGAGAAGCAUUGUUAAGGAACUCGGCAAAAUGACUCCGUAACUUCGGGAGAAGGAGUGCCAGCGAGAGCUGGCCGCAGAGAAUUGGCCCAAGCAACUGUUUAGCAAAAACACAGGUCUAUGCAAAACCGUAAGGUGAAGUAUAUGGGCUGACGCCUGCCCGGUGCUGGAAGGUUAAGAGGAGAGGUUAGCGGUAACGCGAAGCUUUGAAUUUAAGCCCCAGUAAACGGCGGCCGUAACUAUAACGGUCCUAAGGUAGCGAAAUUCCUUGUCGGGUAAGUUCCGACCCGCACGAAAGGCGUAAUGAUUUGGGCACUGUCUCAACAAUGCACCCGGUGAAAUUGAAAUACCAGUGAAGAUGCUGGUUACCUGCGCCAGGACGGAAAGACCCCAUGGAGCUUUACUCCAGCUUGAUACUGGGAUUCGGUAUUGCAUGUACAGGAUAGGUGGGAGGCUAGGAAGUGAUAACGCCAGUUGUCACGGAGCCGCUGUUGGGAUACCACCCUUGCAGUAUUGGAUUUCUAACCAGCGACCAUGAACUGGUCGGGGGACAAUGUCAGGUGGGGAGUUUGACUGGGGCGGUCGCCUCCGAAAGGGUAUCGGAGGCGCUCAAAGGUUCCCUCAGAAUGGACGGAAACCAUUCGAAGAGUGCAAAGGCAGAAGGGAGCUUGACUGCGACACCGACGGGUGGAGCAGGUACGAAAGUAGGACUUAGUGAUCCGGUGGUAUAAAGUGGGAUUGCCAUCGCUCAACGGAUAAAAGCUACCCUGGGGAUAACAGGCUUAUCACUCCCAAGAGUUCACAUCGACGGAGUGGUUUGGCACCUCGAUGUCGGCUCAUCGCAUCCUGGGGCUGAAGUAGGUCCCAAGGGUUGGGCUGUUCGCCCAUUAAAGCGGUACGCGAGCUGGGUUCAGAACGUCGUGAGACAGUUCGGUCCCUAUCCGGCGUGGGCGUAGGAUAUUUGAGAGGAGCUGUCCUUAGUACGAGAGGACCGGGAUGGACGAACCUCUGGUGUAUCUGUUGCAUUACCAAAUGCAUGGCAGAGUAGCCAAGUUUGGAAGGGAUAAACGCUGAAGGCAUCUAAGCGUGAAGCCCCCCUCAAGAUGAGAUAUCCCAUACGAAAGUAGUAAGACCCCUUGA
RNAcentral lists this ribosomal RNA (2143 nucleotides) under human gut metagenome. Its description in RNAcentral is "bacterial LSU rRNA". It matches the Rfam family "Bacterial large subunit ribosomal RNA", at positions 673 to 2841 of the family's 2925-position model. The record is from RNAcentral.